UACGUAGGGUGCUAGCGUUGUUCGGAAUCAUUGGGCGUAAAGCGCGUGUAGGCCGUCAAUUAAGUCGGGUGUGAAAUCCCACGGCUCAACCGAGGAAGUGCAUCCGAAACUAAUUGGCUAGAAGACGGUAGAGGGAGGUGGAAUUCCAAGUGUAGAGGUGAAAUUCGUAGAUAUUUGGAGGAAUACCGGUGGCGAAGGCGGCCUCCUGGGCCGUUCUUGACGCUGAGACGCGAAAGCGUGGGGAGCAAACAGG
This 253-nucleotide ribosomal RNA is filed under the name uncultured bacterium. Its description in RNAcentral is "partial 16S ribosomal RNA". It matches the Rfam family "Bacterial small subunit ribosomal RNA", at positions 524 to 776 of the family's 1533-position model. The record is from RNAcentral.